Molecule: ribosomal RNA, 208 nt
Filed under: uncultured bacterium
Lineage: Bacteria
Description: partial 16S ribosomal RNA
Rfam family: Bacterial small subunit ribosomal RNA
Source: RNAcentral
UGCGUAGGUGGUCGGGUAAGUCUGAUGUGAAAUCUCCGAGCUUAACUCGGAAAUGGCAUUGGAUACUAUUCGGCUAGAGGGUUUGAGGGGGGACUGGAAUACUUGGUGUAGCAGUGAAAUGCGUAGAUAUCAAGUGGAACACCAGUGGCGAAGGCGAGUCCCUGGAAAACUCCUGACACUGAGGCACGAAAGCUAGGGGAGGCAAACA